GAUGAACGCUAGCGGCAGGCUUAAUACAUGCAAGUCGUGGGGCAGCGCGGGUAGCAAUACCUGGCGGCGACCGGCAAACGGGUGCGGAACACGUACGCAACCUUCCUUUAAGCGGGGAAUAGCCCAGGGAAACUUGGAUUAAUACCCCAUAAGAUUAUGGUGUGGCAUCACACAGUAAUUAAAGCUUCGGCACUUAAAGAUGGGCGUGCGGCUGAUUAGGUAGUUGGCGGGGUAACGGCCC
Molecule: ribosomal RNA, 241 nt
Filed under: uncultured bacterium
Lineage: Bacteria
Description: partial 16S ribosomal RNA
Rfam family: Bacterial small subunit ribosomal RNA
Source: RNAcentral